RNAcentral lists this ribosomal RNA (232 nucleotides) under uncultured bacterium. RNAcentral's name for it is "partial 16S ribosomal RNA". It matches the Rfam family "Bacterial small subunit ribosomal RNA", at positions 29 to 245 of the family's 1533-position model. The record is from RNAcentral.
AACGAACGCUGGCGGCGUGCCUAACACAUGCAAGUCGAGGGAGAAAGCCCGCAAGGGUGAGUAAACCGGCGAACGGGUGCGUAACACGUGGAUAAUCUACCUUCCUGACUGGGACAACUGGCCGAAAGGCUUGCUAAUACCAGAUAAGCCCACGGCGUCCUUUGGACGCUGAGGGAAAAGGUGGCCUCUGCAUGCAAGCUAUCGCAGGGAGAUGAGUCCGCGGCCCAUCAGC